This 239-nucleotide long non-coding RNA is filed under the name Gallus gallus (chicken). The record is from RNAcentral. Lineage: Eukaryota; Metazoa; Chordata; Aves; Galliformes; Phasianidae.
AGUCAUCUUUUCCUUGGCAUUUUGAAUAACAAGUUCAGUGAGAUAAAGCACAAUGAAGAUCUUUUGAAGAAGCAUCUGGAAUUCAUCUGUGUAAAGAAAUCACAAAAUCAUGGGAUUGCAGUGACUCUGUCAUCACUGGAUUUCAGCAGAAGUGUGGCACAUCCCAGGAUAGAUUCCACCACUGUGGAAGCACAGCCCUCAGGGUUCCCUAGGGUUACUCUUGAACACGUGUAAAUCAG